Molecule: long non-coding RNA, 1131 nt
Organism: Cherax quadricarinatus
Lineage: Eukaryota; Metazoa; Arthropoda; Malacostraca; Decapoda; Parastacidae
Source: RefSeq, a predicted model, not a curated record
CUGCCAGAGCCCAGCCAGGGGUCAGGCUCAUCUGGUGCUUGCCUGCUCCACCAGGAUGUUACUGCUGGUGGUCCCCUGACCCACUCCAUCACAGCCUGGUUGAUCCAGCACCUGGUGAAGCUUGCCACCAUGAAGCUCCUCCUAUACUUCUGCAGAUGCCCCUGACUCUCCUUCCUCCAGUGCUACAGUCUUUGGGUCUUUGAUAGAAGAUAAAUGUCAUUUUAAUUCAAAUAUAGGUUUAUGCUGAACACUAUAAGGUGGAUCAUUAAAAAAAAAUUUCAAAUACCAAUAAAUUCUCAUUCAUAAAUCAAGCAUUUGGAAUGACUAAUUUGAUCUUAGGAUUUCAAAUAAAAAAUUUGAGGCUUGUAAACACACAUAAGUGGGAUUAUGAACAGGCCCCUGACUGUCUUCAAGAAGGUGCUGGACAGGCACCUAAAGUCAAUACCUGACCAACCGGGCUGUGGUUAGUACGUCAAUUUAUGUGCAACCAGCAGUAACAGCCUGGUUGAUCAGGCUCUGAUCUACCAUGAGGACUGGUCACAGACCAGGCUGCAGUGGAUACACAAUAUUCUUUUAUACUCACACAUAACAACUUUAGUUAAGAAUCCUAAUAAAUAUACCCAACACCAAAAUGUCACAUUCUUCAACUUUACCAAGUUAUCUUAUGUUAUCAUUACAUGAAUAUGCAUAACCAUAACAUGUGUGAGCCAUUAUAACUUUUACACACAUUAAUAGUAUUCUCUGCCAAAACUUUUAUACAAAUCCCUAAAUAAUAAUAACACACAAUGUAAGUACAUCACACUGAUUUAACUGGGUUACCGAUGUAUGCACUUACAUCGUGAAUUUUUUUUUAUGUAAUCAGCAAUGCAAGUUACAGUGAUUUAACUCUGUUAUCAAAUUUUAUUUCUUUGCAAGAUUACAUUGAGAUUAUGAAAUUACAAUAAUGAGUUGCAGUGCAAAGAGAGCCACUAUCAUGCCUUGGCAUUAUGGGCAGACUUAAUUUAAUGGCUUACAGAUUAUAUCUGUUUCUAUAUCAACAUUUUAUACUUAUGUGACCAUAUUAUACCAUAGUCAAUUGUGUUCAUUAUUCUCUGUUAUACAGACAAAGUUCAAUAAAUUCUUGUCUUUGUU